AAUGGCCAAAGUCCUCUAGUUGUGAUUAAUACAGGCCAACCUUAUACCCUUCUAUUAAAAAAACACGGAUACAUUAGGUUUCACAUCCAUUUCAAAACAUUUCAAAAUCGCCGCUUCCCUGCUCCUCUCUCUCUCUCUCUGGCGAUUCGAGAUCUGUAUCUAGGUUUUUUCUCCAAACAUACAUUCUUAUGAAAUCAGAAAGAUGAACCUUCGGUGUAGUUGCAGUCGGUGGAAAAAAGAUCCAGGUAGUUUUUUUUGCUGAAUUUUUCUUAGAUCUACCGGACCACCAUCAACUUUUAGCGUAUUUUGUUGUUUUGUUGUAGCAUUGCAGAUCUGAGUUUUUAGCCACAUUCAAGAACGGUACAAACAACAUUCUUGCGUCAAUCAGAAGGAUGAAGCUUCGGUGUAUUGAAAUCAGGAAACAAGCACGGCUAGGAAGAUAACAAGCUCGGAUAUGAUAGGUUUGCUUUGGUAUAGUUGCAAUCGGUGGAUGAAGACUUGAUGGAAGUUGUUUUGGUUUGCUAGGGUUCUGUCACGAACCCAGGCAGUGCUGACGCCUUAGAAGAGCCCGAUAAUGAUUAGGGGUUGAUUCCAGGUUAUGUUGCAGUUGGGCGGUAUACAUAAAAAAAACAACUUUCAUACAUGAUAAAACAAGGGGAAGGUUUAUCGUAUGCUAAAAACCAGCCAAGCCCAAGCCUAAAAAAUUGUUUAUUCAAUGAGCCCCGGCUUUCCAGAUUUGUCAAUUUUCAACAAAUCCGACUACGAUGUUGGUGGCUAAGAUUCCAUAAAGGGCUUUCCAGAUUUGUCAAGUUUCAACCUUUAAACGGGUUCAUUCAGAA
This is a long non-coding RNA of Helianthus annuus (common sunflower), 839 nucleotides long. RefSeq lists it as uncharacterized. The record is from RefSeq and is a predicted model, not a curated record. The transcript is spliced from 3 exons. Lineage: Eukaryota; Viridiplantae; Streptophyta; Magnoliopsida; Asterales; Asteraceae.